Molecule: long non-coding RNA, 755 nt
Organism: Passer domesticus (house sparrow)
Lineage: Eukaryota; Metazoa; Chordata; Aves; Passeriformes; Passeridae
Exons: 3
Source: RefSeq, a predicted model, not a curated record
AUCACGCAGCAGCAGAUGACACAUUUAGCCAGAAACUCCCUGAACUCAUCUCAUCACUCCUUCAAAAAGUUCAGAGCUCUGUCUGCUCAGUGACUCAGCAUUUUUCAGAGUGAAAGAGGUUGUAGGAAGUCACCAGAAAUCAAUUCCCCAGGAACACCCCCUUACAAGACACCUAGCAGCUUUCUGUGACAAGAACAACUUAACCUUGAGCAGCACACGUUCUGUUUGUGACAUUAGAGCUAUAGAAGCAUUUCUGGGUUGCCACAAGGAGGAAGCAGCUCUGACAGGCAUUCAUCCAUACAUGUAUGAGGCUUUCAGCUACCCGACAAAGCAUCCACAAGUUGACCAAGUUCAGCUCAGUGAACUUUACCCACUAGUAAAAUUAUUCAGGUUUUCAGCUAUGACUGGCUAUCACUGUUUGUUCCGCUUCAAUUCCUCCCUUCACUGUGUAGAAGACACAAGGCAGUUGUAAGACAAUGUACAGCUGGUAUUUUAUACACAGGAACACAUUCUCACAAGUGCAAAUUGGCACAGGAGUCUCAUCUGAGAGCUCUCAUGAAGGCAGGCAAGCUGGAAACCUGGCCUAGAGCCUCCAAAGCAAUGGAAGUACAGGAGGGUUCUUGGAAAUGAAAGGUACCUUCCCAGCCACAGUGGGCACUUGUGAGCACUAGCAAUGAAGUAGUGCUAACCUACAGAGCAGAAAAAAGUCAGCAAGGUUGCAUUUGAAUCUCUUGCAGCUCCAUCUGCUGCAACAC